Long non-coding RNA from Chionomys nivalis (European snow vole), 1325 nucleotides. RefSeq lists it as uncharacterized. The record is from RefSeq and is a predicted model, not a curated record. The transcript has 3 exons. NCBI's taxonomy places the organism in Eukaryota, Metazoa, Chordata, Mammalia, Rodentia, Cricetidae.
CUCACCCAGGCUGUAGACCUGGGUCAGGAGGAGACCCUGACCAGCUUCAGAGAAGACCCCAGACCUGUCCCGAGCCUGCAAGCUGUGCAGUUUCAGCUGUGCUGUUCCCUGAGUCACAGCCUGAGCUGAUGUGGGUUCUGCAGGGAGGCAGCUGCUGUGAAUCCAUCUCAGCUCUUGUCUGGAUGUGCAGAAGAAGCUUCUCUGAGCACAGUGGAGAGCAGCAUUGACCCAGACCUGCACCAGGAGGAUGUGGACCCAGCAGCACCAGCUCCCAGGACCUUCUGCCUUUCACUACCAGAUUGUCACUGCAGGGACAGCCAGCCUGUCGGACUGAGCAGCUUCCGGGUUCUCUGUCUCCAUUGCUGGACCUAGUGCAUGUCACAGAGACUAAACUAUAAUAGUAAUAAUAUUAUAAAAUAGCACUUUUUCUGUUAUGAAAUAUCCCUAUCAUAUAUAGUCAUAUGAAAAUAUCAGAUACAUUCUUUGUUUUAUGCUAGAGAAGGCUGCCUUGUAUAGGUGUGGUUAUAAUAAAUAUCUAUUACAAAAUUGAUAUACUUAACAGAAUUUAACUCUUAGCCAAAUACCUUAGGGAGGGUGGAGUCUUUCUAGUCUGUCUCACACUGACUUAGAUACUGGUAACUUAUUUGCACAGGAGAAAUAACUUCACAUUUUUCCACUAAGGAGAUCUGGUUAUGAUGUUUCCUAUGCUAAGGAUGUGUACAUAACCAUGGUCUUUCCUGAUCUUUAGUUAAAGUAGUUCCAUGUUGAGGGCAAAUCCCACCAGGGCACACCAAGAGUACAAGGUGAUAAGAAAGGGCCCAAGUGACGGCACAGAGUGAAGACCAUGAAAUGCUGUGUCUGCAGCAUCCUGAUUCAUCUGGUGGAAGCUGAUGGAAAGGGAGAGUGGUGGCACCAGAUGAACUCUCAUGACUUCUCUGGAGCAUCUUCAACCUGCAGCAAGGAAACACAUCUUUUGAAGGAUCUGAGGAAAGUCUGGGUCUGGAUGUGCAGAAGAAGCUUCUCUGACACAGUGGAGAGCAGCACUGACCCAGAGCUGCACCAGGAGGAUGUGGACCCAGCAGCACCAGCUCCCAGGACCUUCUGCCUUUCACUGCCAGAUUGUCACUGCAGGGACAGCCAGCCUGUCAGACUGAGCAGCUUCCGGGUUCUCUAUUCUCACUGUGAAUGUGGGCAUUGCUAGGCUACCUAGUGUAUGACUAACCUAUAAUAGUAAUAAUAUUAUAAAAGAUUACAUUUUCUCUUAUGACUAUAUUAUGUAUAGACAUUUAAAAAUAAAAGACACAUUUUUUUUCUUUUGUUCUAGA